Capra hircus (goat) is the source of this 1171-nucleotide long non-coding RNA. RefSeq lists it as uncharacterized. Lineage: Eukaryota; Metazoa; Chordata; Mammalia; Artiodactyla; Bovidae. The transcript is spliced from 3 exons. The record is from RefSeq and is a predicted model, not a curated record.
GGAGUGCCGUGACUCUCUGCUCACACCCCCGGCUCUGCCUGGGGCCUGCCAGGGGGGAGGCCCAGAGAGGGUGGAGGUGAGGUGGGAGGAGGAGGAGGACCUCCCACACUCAAGAGCCUGGGAUGGGGUGCCCUGUGGGGCCUGGGGAUGUUGGGGGGGAGGCAGGAACAGGAACCAGGAGGAAUCUGGAGGAACAGACCCACCUGGGACCCAGGCUCUGGCUUGCAGCCUCUGUCCCAGGUGAGGAGAAAUAAGUCCUUGUCCACAGGGUGGACAGCACAGCAGAGGCCAGGCUCUGCCAGGGAUGACGGGAAUCUGGGGACAGCCGAGGGCCCAGAGGCUCAGGACGGGCUCCUGGGGGCCAGGUUUGGGGGUACACCUCUCUCCCAACCUUCUUCAGUCCUGGGCCCCCAGACUUCCACCUGCCCAAGACUAAGACUCCCCAGCCUCAUCCCCUUAACCCCCAAUUUAGGCCCCCCAUUCCAGGCUCAGAGCCACCAGGUGGUGAGGCAGAAGCUUCCAGAGAAAGCCAUUCAAGAAGAGGCAGCAGCAGAAGCAGGCGAGUGAGAAAAGAGGACAGCCUUGCAGGCCGGAGCAGAGAAGAAUGCGAGGGGCCAUAAGGAAGCGGGAGAGAGGAGUGAGACCGGAGAACCAGAGAACCAGCAGGAGAGGGCCGGGAGGAAGGCCAAAGCCAGAGCGAGCUCCAUCCUGGGAAGGAGUCUGUGUACGGUGCUGGGCUGCCUGGACCCCCACGGCAAACCUCCGGUCAAUAUCGUCCCCGUUUCACUGAUGGGAAGCGUCUAGAGGCCGAAGUCGCGAGCCCAAGGCCGCCUGGCAAGAAACGGUGGAGCUGGGACUUGAACCCCAGAGCCCAUGGUGGAGGCAGCCUCUUGUCCAGUCCCCACCAUUCUCCCCUCCUGAGCCUGCCGGAGCCUCCACAGGAAACCCCCAGGCCCAUAAACACACUGGCCGAACCAAGUCCCCUGCCGGAGUUUCCCAUCUGACCCUGGCAGGUGACCGAGCGGGAUGGGAUAGUGGCGAGGACCAGCGGCCAGCCUUCUGUGCUUGGUUGGGAGACUGUCGGAGGUCACAGGUGGGCGGGGGGAGGCUCUGACCCCAGGCCUACACUGAUGGAGGGAACACUUGCUUCUGUCCACCUCCAAGGGACUGA